UGGAAGUGGCGGUCAGAGCCUGAGUAUUACAUCAGGUACUGAGUACAAGCACGAAAUCAGGGCCUGCUGAAAUACUCGCUCUCUGUCAGCACUAAUCAACU
Molecule: microRNA precursor, 101 nt
Filed under: Capitella teleta
Lineage: Eukaryota; Metazoa; Annelida; Polychaeta; Capitellidae
Description: microRNA cte-mir-12 precursor
Gene: cte-mir-12
Source: miRBase by way of RNAcentral